RNAcentral lists this ribosomal RNA (254 nucleotides) under uncultured bacterium. RNAcentral describes it as "partial 16S ribosomal RNA". It matches the Rfam family "Bacterial small subunit ribosomal RNA", at positions 524 to 776 of the family's 1533-position model. The record is from RNAcentral.
UACGUAGGGGGCAAGCGUUGUCCGGAUUUAUUGGGCGUAAAGAGCGUGUAGGCGGUUUGGUAGGUCCGUUGUGAAAACUCGAGGCUCAACCUCGAGACGCCGAUGGAAACCAUCAGACUAGAGUCCGGAAGAGGAGAGUGGAAUUCCUGGUGUAGCGGUGAAAUGCGCAGAUAUCAGGAAGAACACCGGUGGCGAAGGCGGCCUGCUGGGCAGUGGCUGACGCUGAGGCGCGACAGCGUGGGGGAGCAAACAGG